This 21-nucleotide microRNA is filed under the name Sorghum bicolor (sorghum). RNAcentral describes it as "sbi-miR5564b". Lineage: Eukaryota; Viridiplantae; Streptophyta; Magnoliopsida; Poales; Poaceae. The record is from miRBase by way of RNAcentral.
GCAAUUCGUCGAACAGCUUGA